GCGGAGGAAAAGAAACCAACAGGGAUUGCCCCAGUAACGGCGAGUGAAGCGGCAACAGCUCAAAUUUGAAAUCUGGCCCCUAGGGUCCGAGUUGUAAUUUGUAGAGGAUGCUUUUGGUGAGGUGCCGCCCGAGUUCCCUGGAACGGGACGCCGCAGAGGGUGAGAGCCCCGUCUGGCUGGCCACCGAGCCUCUGUAAAGCUCCUUCGACGAGUCGAGUAGUUUGGGAAUGCUGCUCAAAAUGGGAGGUAUAUGUCUUCUAAAGCUAAAUAUUGGCCAGAGACCGAUAGCGCACAAGUAGAGUGAUCGAAAGAUGAAAAGCACCUUGAAAAGAGGGUUAAACAGUACGUGAAAUUGUUGAAAGGGAAGCGCUUGUGACCAGACUUGGGCGCGGCGAAUCAUCCGGGGUUCUCUCCGGUGCACUUCGCCGUGUUCAGGCCAGCAUCAGUUCGGCGCGGGGGAAAAAGGCUUCGGGAACGUGGCUGCUCCGGCAGUGUUAUAGCCCGUUGCAUAAUACCCUGCGCUGGACUGAGGAC
Molecule: ribosomal RNA, 534 nt
Filed under: Trichoderma sp. f2 CM-2014
Lineage: Eukaryota; Fungi; Ascomycota; Sordariomycetes; Hypocreales; Hypocreaceae
Description: eukaryotic LSU rRNA
Rfam family: Eukaryotic large subunit ribosomal RNA
Source: RNAcentral